AUUGAACGCUGGCGGCAGGCCUAACACAUGCAAGUCGAGCGGUAGAGAGGUGCUUGCAUCUCUUGAGAGCGGCGGACGGGUGAGUAAUGCCUAGGAAUCUGCCUAGUGGUGGGGGAUAACGUUCGGAAACGGACGCUAAUACCGCAUACGUCCUACGGGAGAAAGCGGGGGAUCUUCGGACCUCGCGCCAUUAGAUGAGCCUAGGUCGGAUUAGCUAGUUGGUGAGGUAAUGGCUCACCAAGGCGACGAUCCGUAACUGGUCUGAGAGGAUGAUCAGUCACACUGGAACUGAGACACGGUCCAGACUCCUACGGGAGGCAGCAGUGGGGAAUAUUGGACAAUGGGCGAAGCCUGAUCCAGCCAUGCCGCGUGUGUGAAGAAGGUCUUCGGAUUGUAAGCACUUUAAGUUGGGAGGAAGGGUAGUAACCUAAUACGUUGCUACUUUGACGUUA
This 452-nucleotide ribosomal RNA is filed under the name uncultured bacterium. RNAcentral describes it as "bacterial SSU rRNA". It matches the Rfam family "Bacterial small subunit ribosomal RNA", at positions 30 to 477 of the family's 1533-position model. The record is from RNAcentral.